CAAGAGAUGUGAGAUGUACAGACCAAAGGCAGAUAAAUAUGGACAUGGUGAUAAUAAAAUAUGGUGGCUACUCCAAUGAAGAUUUUAUGAUUGUCAUCAUGUGAAGAUAUUUCAUUUUGACCAUUGGAUGAUAGAUUGUAGAGUUUGAUUUUUAUUUGAAGUAAAAGUGUUACCUUUAUUUAAAGUGUUGCUAAACAAAUAAGUUACACUUUUUAAACAAGGAUCAUCAUGAGAAGAUAUUUUUGGCAUCUUCAUAGGAGUAGUUGCCAUAAAAUAUAAUUAAUGAACCACAAAAGCA
Non-coding RNA from Arachis ipaensis, 298 nucleotides. The record is from RefSeq and is a predicted model, not a curated record. Lineage: Eukaryota; Viridiplantae; Streptophyta; Magnoliopsida; Fabales; Fabaceae.